Dicentrarchus labrax (European seabass) is the source of this 1399-nucleotide long non-coding RNA. RefSeq lists it as uncharacterized. The transcript is spliced from 3 exons. The record is from RefSeq and is a predicted model, not a curated record. NCBI's taxonomy places the organism in Eukaryota, Metazoa, Chordata, Actinopteri, Moronidae.
UGUGUGUGUGCGCGCGCUGUAUAUAUGUUGUGUCAAGACUGGGUUUGUUUUCUUUACAGUUUGUCUCUCUGCUGUGGACUUUGAAUGCUGCAACAAGCACACGAGAAAAACUCCACUGGACUCUCCACCAGCACUCAAAUCCACAUCAGGAUUACUUGAAUAUCAAGGACCUGCCCACAUAAAAGAUCUGUCCUUUCUCACAACCUGGAAGCAAGAAGUUCAUGAAUCCCAUUUACUUUCAACACCAGCCGCUCAUCUGCUGUCACCGACCAUUUGAUGAAGAGCAAAGACGGAAGACAUCCUGACUACUAACAACGGCUUUCAGAGAGAGAUGGAGUGAUCUGGGGGCCCUACUGCCAACAUGCUUCACAAGUAACACACAGCCUUGAAAUUCCUCCACCACUGAAGCCUUGAGUGUGGCUCAAUGUAACAAUGUUAGGAUACCUCUCAGGCUGUACUCCUAUACACAAGUAGGCCCACUACAAAUUUGUAUCCAGCACGGUCAUCACACAAGUUUCGUUUUUUUACCUGUUCAGUGAAAUUUCCAAAAGAAACAUUGAUUUAUAGUAUUUUAACAUUUCCUUACAUUUCCAUUACAUUACUUUAGGUUAUUCUUCACAUGGGGUUGGAAACAAACAAAUAAUGUUUUCCUUUUACAAUAUUGAAAUGGUGAAUAUUUAACCGUGUUGAAUUGUAUUAAGAAUAAAUUCUAUGACUCUAUAAGACACAUUCUAUAAGUAUUACACAUAUAAAGUUUACUGCACAUACAUUACAGAAAAAAAAUACAUUCCAAUGAGGGUAGCAAACUUAAAUUAUAUAACUGGUUUUAAAUACAGUAAAGACAUUGGCUUAAUAUUUUAUCUUGCCUACAGAGCACAGUGGUAUUACCUGUAAUUUAGAGAUCAUGCUCAUUUGCAAACAUCACAUGUGCUGCUGGGAAACAUCAAUUAUCUGAUCUCUAUUACAGCACAGCCAGCUAGAUGCUGUCUUUCUUCAACCAGGUAGAACAAGCAAAACUAUGUCAUCAUUUGACAAAGUGCACUGCAGUCUGACUUAAUGAAACAACAUGCUAACUUUUGCUGCCUCAUUAUUUUAAUGUUUAGGAGGUCAUUAAAAUAAAUGAAUUACUUAAUAUGAUUUUAUUAUUUGUUAAUGCUAAAGUUCAGAACAAUACAAAUCAAUUGUUAGAUAUUCUAAUGAAGCAGAUACAGUCUUUUCAUUCUUAUUCUUAAUUCAGCUUUUCUGAAGAAUGGCCAAGCAAGGAUUUACAUGACUUCCAUGACUGUACUGUUUAUAAUUCCUAAAUGUUAUAUUUCCUGGAAUAUAUUGAAUAUAUAUUGCUACUCUUUACUGCAAUCAACGAUGGUGUAAUAAAAUAUAUAUUUAUAUAUUUAUAUAA